UGGGAACAAGAUUCUUUAGACAGAAGUU
Molecule: non-coding RNA, 28 nt
Filed under: Rattus norvegicus (Norway rat)
Lineage: Eukaryota; Metazoa; Chordata; Mammalia; Rodentia; Muridae
Source: RNAcentral